ACAAAUAUGAAGGCGGGCUGGAACCUCUCGGGGUUACAGCCUUGCUGAAUUAUUCACCCUUGUCUUUUGCGUACUUCUUGUUUCCUUGGUGGGUUCGCCCACCACUAGGACAAACAUAAACCUUUUGUAAUUGCAAUCAGCGUCAGUAACAAAUUAAUAAUUACAACUUUCAACAACGGAUCUCUUGGUUCUGGCAUCGAUGAAGAACGCAGCGAAAUGCGAUAAGUAGUGUGAAUUGCAGAAUUCAGUGAAUCAUCGAAUCUUUGAACGCACAUUGCGCCCUUUGGUAUUCCAAAGGGCAUGCCUGUUCGAGCGUCAUUUGUACCCUCAAGCUUUGCUUGGUGUUGGGCGUCUUGUCUCUAGCUUUGCUGGAGACUCGCCUUAAAGUAAUUGGCAGCCGGCCUACUGGUUUCGGAGCGCAGCACAAGUCGCACUCUCUAUCAGCAAAGGUCUAGCAUCCAUUAAGCCUUUUUUUCAACUUUUGACCUCGGAUCAGGUAGGGAUACCCGCUGAACUUAA
This 519-nucleotide ribosomal RNA is filed under the name Alternaria sp. 3 Ohu 13A1. RNAcentral's name for it is "eukaryotic LSU rRNA". The stretch from base 165 to 318 matches the Rfam family "5.8S ribosomal RNA". The record is from RNAcentral. Lineage: Eukaryota; Fungi; Ascomycota; Dothideomycetes; Pleosporales; Pleosporaceae.